AUAUUGGACAAUGGGGGGAACCCUGAUCCAGCCAUGCCGCGUGUGUGAAGAAGGCCUUAUGGUUGUAAAGCACUUUAAGCGAGGAGGAGGCUACUAGUAUUAAUACUACUGGAUAGUGGACGUUACUCGCAGAAUAAGCACCGGCUAACUCUGUGCCAGCAGCCGCGGUAAUACAGAGGGUGCGAGCGUUAAUCGGAUUUACUGGGCGUAAAGCGUGCGUAGGCGGCCAUUUAAGUCAAAUGUGAAAUCCCCGAGCUUAACUUGGGAAUUGCAUUCGAUACUGGAUGGCUAGAGUAUGGGUGAGGAUGGUAGAAUUCCAGGUGUAGCGGUGAAAUGCGUAGAGAUCUGGAGGAAUACCGAUGGCGAAGGCAGCCAUCUGGCCUAAUACUGACGCUGAGGUACGAAAGCAUGGGGAGCAAAC
Molecule: ribosomal RNA, 421 nt
Filed under: uncultured bacterium
Lineage: Bacteria
Description: bacterial SSU rRNA
Rfam family: Bacterial small subunit ribosomal RNA
Source: RNAcentral